GAGUUUGAUCAUGGCCAGGAUGAACGCUGGCGGCGUGCUUAACACAUGCAAGUCGAACGGUGAAAGAGAGCUUGCUCUCUGGAUCAGUGGCGAACGGGUGAGUAACACGUGAGCAAUCUGCCCCUGACUCUGGGAUAAGCGCUGGAAACGGCGUCUAAUACCGGAUACGAGCUGCGAAGGCAUCUUCAGCAGCUGGAAAGAACUUCGGUCAGGGAUGAGCUCGCGGCCUAUCAGCUAGUUGGUGAGGUAAUGGCUCACCAAGGCGUCGACGGGUAGCCGGCCUGAGAGGGUGACCGGCCACACUGGGACUGAGACACGGCCCGGACUCCUACGGGAGGCAGCAGUGGGGAAUAUUGCACAAUGGGCGCAAGCCUGAUGCAGCAACGCCGCGUGAGGGACGACGGCCUUCGGGUUGUAAACCUCUUUUAGCAGGGGGGAAGCGAAAGUGACGGUACCUGCAGAAAAAGCACCGGCUGACUACGUGCCAGCAGCGCGGUAA
This 499-nucleotide ribosomal RNA is filed under the name uncultured Microbacterium sp. Its description in RNAcentral is "bacterial SSU rRNA". It matches the Rfam family "Bacterial small subunit ribosomal RNA", at positions 9 to 523 of the family's 1533-position model. The record is from RNAcentral. Lineage: Bacteria; Bacillati; Actinomycetota; Actinomycetes; Micrococcales; Microbacteriaceae.